Molecule: long non-coding RNA, 350 nt
Organism: Varroa destructor (honeybee mite)
Lineage: Eukaryota; Metazoa; Arthropoda; Arachnida; Mesostigmata; Varroidae
Source: RefSeq, a predicted model, not a curated record
UGUGAAAGGUGCGAUUGUUGGUUGCCAUUACCUUUGUUUCCGGGUGGAUGACGGCCAACUGGCGCGAAAAAGAAAAACGAAGUUCUCCAGUACUUCAGCUCGCUCAGAAAAAUCGAGACUUAAGACAACAAAGUAGGGCUUAAGUGGUGAGAUCAAAAAGACGAAGACCUCACAAAACCUUCACGAUUAGGGAUACCUUCAGUUGCCAAGCGGCAGGCAAACAUUAAAAUGAUUGAUCGAGAAGACUACGGUACACGGAUUUAGCGAAGAGCAUCCGGGCUUUGUUAAUCAUACAUUUUUUGAAAGAUGGAAAUCAACAUAGCGAAGCUGUUUGUUAAAACUGUCGAUUG